This 515-nucleotide long non-coding RNA is filed under the name Cricetulus griseus (Chinese hamster). RNAcentral's name for it is "lncRNA (ENSCGRG00015031838.1)". Lineage: Eukaryota; Metazoa; Chordata; Mammalia; Rodentia; Cricetidae. The record is from RNAcentral.
GGGCCCCGCCCCCGUCACCCCCGGGGCUGGAGACGCGCGUCCCGGGCGUGCGCGGCGGCCCUGGCGAGGGGCGCAGGCUCGAGGCACCAACCCUACCUCACAUCCUGGCUCACCCUGCUGGGGGAAGGUGGGACCCCCCUGACCAGACCCUGACAGCCUUCCUGGCACCAGAGGCUUCAGCCCCCGCCACGACUCGCCUUUCACUCUGCCCGAAGCUGGUGACAUGGCAAAGGAGGGAUUGGAAUAUUAAACUCAUCUCAGCGUGGCUGCCACCUGGGGCCACCUAGAGGAAGGGGUUGAACCUUGUGCCUGUAGCUGGCAUGCUCUUUCUGAUGCACUCAGCAAACAGAACCCAUACUCCGGCAACACUUGUCACUUCAGGCUGUCAGCCAGAGGCCCCACCUGAAGACACUUGUGGCUGUUAGGAUAGCGCCUUCUUCCACCCUUCGCCCAGCAGUCUGGCAUUCUGAGCUUCUGCAGGUUCUCUGCGGCCCACAGGCUGAUUGUGCCUUUAG